GCUCAAAUUUGAAAUCUCACUAUUUUGUAGUGCGAAUUGUAGUUUAGAGAAAUGUUUUCGAGGUUUACGAUUAGUACAAGUUCUUUGGAACAAGAUAUCAUAGAGGGUGACAAUCCCGUCUUUGACUAAUUGAUAAAUUUCAUAUGAUACAUUUUCUAAGAGUCGGUUUGUUUGGGAAUGCAGACCAAAAUGGGUGGUAAAUACCAUCUAAAGCUAAAUAUUGGCGAGAGACCGAUAGCGAACAAGUACCGUGAGGGAAAGAUGAAAAGAACUUUGAAAAGAGAGUUAAAUAGUACGUGAAAUUGUCAAAAGGGAAACGUUUGAAACCAGUAUUGUGAGUAAUUAUUCAACUAUAUCCUCGAUAUAGUGUAUUUAAUUAUUUACAAGUCAACAUCAGUUUGAUUUGAUAUAAAAAGCUUUUAUCAUGUAGCCCUUUGGGUGUUAUAGAUUUUAGUCAUAUAUUGGAUUAGACUGAGGACUGCAGUGUUAUUUAGAGAUCCUUAUCGCCUAUGAAAUUCGUUAUAAAGAUUACUUGUAAAUUUUAUGAUAGAAUGAUUAGUACGGUUUGGUAUCAUACCAACGCUUAGGAUGUUGACGAAAUGGUUUUAAGCGACCCGUCUUGAAACACGGACCAAGGAGUCUAACAAAUAUGCGAGUAUUUGGGUGGUAAACCCUUAUGCGUAGUGAAAGCGAAAAGGUGGGAUACUUUACAGUUGCACCAUCGACCGCGCUAGAUUAUUACUAUCUCAGCGUGAGUAUGAGCAUAUUUGCUGGGACCCGAAAGAUGGUGAACUAUGCCUGAAUAGGGUGAAGUCAGAGG
Molecule: ribosomal RNA, 820 nt
Filed under: Rhizophydium sp. PL-AUS-Ad014
Lineage: Eukaryota; Fungi; Chytridiomycota; Chytridiomycetes; Rhizophydiales; Rhizophydiaceae
Also listed under: 1 other name
Description: eukaryotic LSU rRNA
Rfam family: Eukaryotic large subunit ribosomal RNA
Source: RNAcentral